RNAcentral lists this ribosomal RNA (497 nucleotides) under uncultured bacterium. Its description in RNAcentral is "partial 16S ribosomal RNA". It matches the Rfam family "Bacterial small subunit ribosomal RNA", at positions 28 to 507 of the family's 1533-position model. The record is from RNAcentral.
GACGAACGCUGGCGGCGUGCCUAAUACAUGCAAGUUGAGCGCUGAAGGUUGGUACUUGUACCAACUGGAUGAGCAGCGAACGGGUGAGUAACGCGUGGGUAAUCUGCCUUUGAGCGGGGGACAACAUUUGGAAACGAAUGCUAAUACCGCAUAAAAACUUUAAACACAAGUUUUAAGUUUGAAAGAUGCAAUUGCAUCACUCAAAGAUGAUCCCGCGUUGUAUUAGCUAGUUGGUGAGGUAAAGGCUCACCAAGGCGAUGAUACAUAGCCGACCUGAUAGGGUGAACGGCCAAAUUGGGACUGAGACACGGCCCAAACUCCUACGGGAGGCAGCAGUAGGGAAUCUUCGGAAAUGGAGGAAAGUCUGACCGAGCAACGCCGCGGGAGUGAAGAAGGGUUUCGGAUCGUAAAACUCUGUUGGUAGAGAAGAACGUUGGUGAGAGUGGAAAGCUCAUCAAGUGACGGUAACUACACAGAAAGGGACGGCUAACUACGUG